AGCAAACCUAUAAAGCAAAGAUUUUUAUGAGUGCUUGAAAAUGGCACAUGAUGUAAAGUGCUUAUGCACUUAGAUGCUUGGGGUUGAUUUUGGCUUUAGUUUUCUCCAAAACUAUACAGUAGAAAUAUUUGAAACUUAAUACAGUAAUGGUCAGAUUGACUGUAAACAGAAAUAAACUGAAAGAACGAGCAAACCUAUAAAGCAAAGAUUUUUAUGAGUGGUUGAAUAUGGGACAUGAUGCAAAGUGCGUAUGCACUUAGAUGCUUGGGGUUGAUUUUGGCUUCAGUUUUCUCCAAAACUAUACAGUAGAAAUAUUUGAAACUUAAUACAGUAAUGGUCAGAUUGACUGUAAACAGAAAUAAACUGAAAGAACGAGCAAACCUAUAAAGCAAAGAUUUUUAUGAGUGCUUGCAAAUGGCACAUGAUGCAAAGUGCUUAUGCACUUAGAUGCUUGAGGUUGAUUUUGGCUUUAGUUUUCUCCAAAACUAUACAGUAGAAAUAUUUGAAACUUAAUACAGUAAUGGACAGAUUGACUGUAAACAGAAAUAAACUGAAAGAACGAGCAAACCUAUAAAGCAAAGAUUUUUAUGAGUGCUUGAAAAUGGCACAUGAUGCAAAGUGCUUAUGCACUUAGAUGCUUGAGGUUGAUUUUGGCUUCAGUUUUCUCCAAAACUAUACAGUAGAAAUAUUUGAAACUUAAUACAGUAAUGGUCAGAUUGACUGUAAACAGAAAUAAACUGAAAGAACGAGCAAACCUAUAAAGCAAAGAUUUUUAUGAGUGCUUGAAAAUGGCACAUGAUGUAAAGUGCUUAUGCACUUAGAUGCUUGGGGUUGAUUUUGGCUUCAGUUUUCUCCAAAACUAUACAGUAGAAAUAUUUGAAACUUAAUACAGUAAUAGUCAGAUUGACUGUAAACAGAAA
Molecule: long non-coding RNA, 920 nt
Organism: Carassius gibelio (silver crucian carp)
Lineage: Eukaryota; Metazoa; Chordata; Actinopteri; Cypriniformes; Cyprinidae
Exons: 3
Source: RefSeq, a predicted model, not a curated record